UGUGUCCUUGCUCAGAUUCCCGUGCAAACAGAGCAAGGCCGCCGAACUUUAAUUCAUUCCACUCCCCAGAAAGUGCUAAGAAUGAGACACUAAAGAAGGUGAAACCAAAACAAUUUGGAGUCACGAGGAGGAGGCCAGUCUGUCUGUGGAAUCUGCGGAUUGUUUAGUUAGAAAAAACAGUGGUGCUUUUUUUU
Molecule: long non-coding RNA, 194 nt
Organism: Herpailurus yagouaroundi (jaguarundi)
Lineage: Eukaryota; Metazoa; Chordata; Mammalia; Carnivora; Felidae
Exons: 2
Source: RefSeq, a predicted model, not a curated record